RNAcentral lists this ribosomal RNA (253 nucleotides) under uncultured bacterium. RNAcentral's name for it is "partial 16S ribosomal RNA". It matches the Rfam family "Bacterial small subunit ribosomal RNA", at positions 524 to 776 of the family's 1533-position model. The record is from RNAcentral.
UACGUAGGGUGCAGGCGUUAAUCGGAAUUACUGGGCGUAAAGCGUGCGCAGGCGGUCUGCUAAGACAGGUGUGAAAUCCCCGGGCUUAACCUGGGAACUGCGCUUGUUACUGGCAGGCUGGAGUGUGGCAGAGGGGGGUGGAAUUCCACGUGUAGCAGUGAAAUGCGUAGAUAUGUGGAGGAAUACCGAUGGCGAAGGCAGCCCCCUGGGAUAACACUGACGCUCAUGCACGAAAGCGUGGGGAGCAAACAGG